UGCAUGAAGGUGCACCUAAUGCUUCCUGAUCCAUGAAUAUGUAAAUACUGUUACGUGACGCCAGUGAUGAUAAGGUGGCCAGCAGAACUUUUUACUCAUAUAAAGUGUUGCGACUCCUUAUCUGAGGUUUUUGUUCAUUGAAGUUAACUAUACUGCAAUGUGACUUAUUGUCUUGACUUCGUUGUACUCUAUAGUAUGAGAAGUACAGGACUGCACAGACAGAUUUGCUCAUAUGUUUUGUAAGUGUCCGUCUGUGGCAUCAUCAUGCCACGCAACUCUUUGUACAGUGAGGGGAGGUAGGUUCCUUGGGAGAAUGAAAAAGGAGAUUGGUGUUAUGCAUCAAAAGCUUUUCUACUUUUAACCAACUGUCAAGUGACCAUGGCAAGACUAAUGGAAAACUUUGCAACCACUUACGUACCACAGCAUGUUACAAUAUCACUGUCAUUGUCCGCGCUAUGUGGCUCUAGCUGCACUCUUCUUUAUAUCAUGCUUUCACAUUGUAAUUCCAGUAUUUUUUCUCUUUUUUUUCCUUGUGUUUCAGUUGCAAGUCUUCGCACAGGUGCAUAACAGGACCCUAACCACGGAUCAUGAAGAGAAUGGCGUAGUCCAGGGCACAGAGGGGGACAAUUGCAGCAGAACCCUUUUUCUUAAACAAGGACACUUCUAAUAUGCAUAUUGUUGCCACAACUUCCACCUCUGCACCGUGCUGCGACUGAAGAAUGUCGAGUAGUCCUACUUUUGGACGGAAACUACAUGAGCACACUCUCGAAGAACAGCUCUCAGCUUCAUCUAUGUGCUCCAUUAUUAUUCCUGUA
This is a long non-coding RNA of Ornithodoros turicata, 815 nucleotides long. RefSeq lists it as uncharacterized. NCBI's taxonomy places the organism in Eukaryota, Metazoa, Arthropoda, Arachnida, Ixodida, Argasidae. The record is from RefSeq and is a predicted model, not a curated record. The transcript is spliced from 3 exons.